AGGAAAUUAGUUAAAACUUAUAACAUAAGAAUGUCAAUCUUAAAUUAUUAUUAAAUAAUAUUACCUG
RNAcentral lists this transfer RNA (67 nucleotides) under Songmachilis xinxiangensis. Its description in RNAcentral is "tRNA-Asp". The record is from RNAcentral. Lineage: Eukaryota; Metazoa; Arthropoda; Insecta; Archaeognatha; Machilidae.